This 386-nucleotide ribosomal RNA is filed under the name uncultured bacterium. Its description in RNAcentral is "bacterial SSU rRNA". It matches the Rfam family "Bacterial small subunit ribosomal RNA", at positions 30 to 419 of the family's 1533-position model. The record is from RNAcentral.
AUUGAACGCUGGCGGAAUGCUUUACACAUGCAAGUCGAACGGCAGCACGGGGCAACCUGGUGGCGAGUGGCGAACGGGUGAGUAAUACAUCGGAACGUGCCCAAUCGUGGGGGAUAACGUAGCGAAAGUUACGCUAAUACCGCAUACGAUCUACGGAUGAAAGCGGGGGAUCGCAAGACCUCGCGCGAAUGGAGCGGCCGAUGUCAGAUUAGGUAGUUGGUGGGGUAAAGGCUCACCAAGCCAACGAUCUGUAGCUGGUCUGAGAGGACGACCAGCCACACUGGAACUGAGACACGGUCCAGACUCCUACGGGAGGCAGCAGUGGGGAAUUUGGACAAUGGGCGCAAGCCUGAUCCAGCCAUUCCGCGUGCAGGAUGAAGGCCUUC